Molecule: ribosomal RNA, 272 nt
Filed under: uncultured Ascomycota
Lineage: Eukaryota; Fungi; Ascomycota
Description: partial 18S ribosomal RNA
Rfam family: Eukaryotic small subunit ribosomal RNA
Source: RNAcentral
UUGGAGGGCAGUCUGGUGCCAGCAGCCGCGGUAAUUCCAGCUCCAAUAGCGUAUAUUAAAGUUGUUGUGGUUAAAAAGCUCGUAGUUGAACCUUGGGCCUGGCUGGCCGGUCCGCCUCACCGCGUGUACUGGUCCGGCCGGGCCUUUCCCUCUGUGGAACCCCAUGCCCUUCACUGGGUGUGGCGGGGAAACAGGACUUUUACUGUGAAAAAAUUAGAGUGCUCCAGGCAGGCCUAUGCUCGAAUACAUUAGCAUGGAAUAAUAGAAUAGGA